UUCCCCUUUCGUGAGUAGUAAACACAAUUAAAACUAAUUUUAGAGAAAUACCACUUAUUCAUCAUAAGAGCUUUGAAAUUAUCCGUAAUGAAGAUUUUAAUCUGGGCAUUGAUAGCCAUUUUGAGACGUAGACUCACUAUGUACGGACAUCUGUGAGCUUUCGCGGGUGUUUACAAUCAUCCUUUUUCAGCAGCAAACCAGUCAAACUUCCGAAAUUGGUUUUUCCAGAACAAAAAUCAACCCAAUUUGAAAGAGUGAUUUCUUCGGUUUUCACGACUCGUAGAUAUGGAUAGGCAGAGACAGACCACCUACCCGAUACUAAGCGGCUACCGGACCCCAUCAACAACGCAAAUUGAUUGAGUGACUGUAUUGAGUUUUUUUUUUUUUUUUUCGGGCCGGAGGCGAACCUCCUACGAGGUCCCCGCGCCUAGGGGGCGCGCGGGGUAUGUGAGACUUAACGAUCUGCAGGUGUUGAGAGCAGAUCGCGGGCCCAAGGAUUUUAGGGCCCACCCACUAAACGACUCCCCUGCACUCUUACACCCGACGUCCGAUCUCCGUCCGGGGUCAGAACCCGUUCAGAGUAGGGGGGUUCCCGCGGUCAACACUACAACCAGACACGCGGCGCCACCCCGAGGACGCCCGACCGACGGGUCGUCGAGGCGAUAGUCGACGACCAACGACGUCGGUCUCCGCGGUACGGCACUGUAUUGAGUAGGGGAAAGUGGGGGAAACGCGAACGCUGGGUAAUGCCGAACUCAAUGAUUCUAAUAUGUUAGAAAGAUAUAUCCUAAUUUUAUUUGCCGCCAUUUCGGAGAUCACGCCACCACUGAUGCCAGUCAAUAACACGGGAGACGCGGACGCACGUACUUAAAAAGGUAUGCAUUUUUCAAUAUUUUGUAUGUUUUAGAUGUAAUUUUUUGGCAAAUUCAAGUUGAUGUAACUUUAUUUCUAUCUACAAUAAUAAUUCAGCUUUUACAUAGUGGAAUAAUCACAUAUCACUCAGCUAAAUGUUAAUGAUGUAGUAGGCAAAAUAAAUUUAACCAAAAUUGUUUUUGACCUUUAAUUAUUUUCGAUUCCGCGGGGUAAAGACGAACACUCCAUGUCGGGCAAUCUCGAACAUUCGCCGUUACCCCACUCCCGUUUGUUAGUACCCCGUUCAACUUUUUUUUAAAUAUUAUUACAGAUGCCUUGUACUUACAAAAGAAAGACCGAACUGAAGUAUAGUUUAGAAGAUCUCAAAAAGGCUAUAGACGAUAUUAAAACCAAAAACUCUCCCUGCGGAAAGCAGCAGAAACAUAUAAUGUUCCAAAAACCACUAAUUUUAACCAUCUAAUGAAAGAAGUGUUAAUACAGCCAUGGUUGGAUGAAACCCUUUAUUUACAGACGAUCAGGAAACGUAAGAAAUCAAGAAGAAGGAAAGAUAGCAAAAAAGGAACCCAAAUAAAAAGACUGAAAUGUAAUGAGAGAACACCUUCAAACAAGAAGUAUGAAAUAUUAUUAAAGAAUUUGAACAAUAUAAAAAAAUACUUCAGUGACUCUAGUUAAAAUACGAAAAAAAAAAGAAAAAGGCGAAAAAGAAAAUAAAGACUACUUUUAUAUUUUUUGUAGAGAUAAAUAUAUUGAUCCUCCCGUUGAAGACUAGAUUGUGUGCUAUGUGUGCAAAAAAUGGGCUCACGAGAGUUGUACUGACGAACAGUCAACAUCGUUGGGUUUUAAAUGUGAUCUAUGUCGUUAAUAAUGUUGGUUCGUAAUCACCCCACUUGGUGUUCGUAUUUACCCGACUAAUGUCGGGCAAAGCCGAACACUAAGGGUUUUGUUUUUCUUUCAUAUUGUUGCAGUUUAUUAAAAAAAUAUAAAUGAUGAUUAGUGAAUAAGUUAGACAGAUAAGUAAACUUUAUAAUAAAAAAAAAUUAAAAAAUCCGUGUUUAAA
Molecule: long non-coding RNA, 1930 nt
Organism: Bombyx mori (domestic silkworm)
Lineage: Eukaryota; Metazoa; Arthropoda; Insecta; Lepidoptera; Bombycidae
Exons: 2
Source: RefSeq, a predicted model, not a curated record